This 291-nucleotide ribosomal RNA is filed under the name uncultured bacterium. RNAcentral's name for it is "partial 16S ribosomal RNA". It matches the Rfam family "Bacterial small subunit ribosomal RNA", at positions 505 to 796 of the family's 1533-position model. The record is from RNAcentral.
GUGACAGCAGCCGCGGUAAUACGGAGGGUGCAAGCGUUAUUCGGAAUUACUGGGCGUAAAGCGCGUGCAGGCGGGAUGGUAAGUCUGAUGUGAAAGCCCGGGGCUUAACCUCGGAAGAGCAUUGGAAACUAUCAUUCUUGAGUUCUGGAGAGGAAGGGGGAAUUCCCGGUGUAGAGGUGAAAUUCGUAGAGAUCGGGAGGAAUACCAGUGGCGAAGGCGCCCUUCUGGACAGUGACUGACGCUGAGACGCGAAAGCGUGGGGAGCAAACAGGAUUAGAUACCCGAUAGUCC